RNAcentral lists this long non-coding RNA (575 nucleotides) under Homo sapiens (human). RNAcentral's name for it is "TMSB15B antisense RNA 1". The record is from RNAcentral. Lineage: Eukaryota; Metazoa; Chordata; Mammalia; Primates; Hominidae.
GUGGCCGCAGCCGUGACUUCCUUGGGAACCGCGCUGCCUCGACUCGGCUACCUCUCUGCGAAGCACUCGCUAAGCCGGGCAGCCCCGGGGUCGCUUAGCGGCCCAGGAGGCGCCAGCGAUCCUGUUCCCCUGCAGAGCUAUGGGGACCGGAAGGCGAAACAGAGCUGUCGACGCGGGAGCAUACGCUGCCCACCAGUGGAGCGCAGGAGUGCACACAUGCUUCUGUCUUCACAUAUGCACAGCUGAAAGUGAGAUGAUUUCUCUACUCCACAGUUGGGAAGGGGGAUUAGACAACAGAGAAGAUGGAGAAGACAAAAGGGCUUGUGGAAAACUGCAAGUCAACAUUUCUUUGGUAAGGCAGUUACCACACAUGAGCACUGGCUGCCAAGCAAAGACUAUGGUUCACUGAAGAGAACCUGACAGGAGUAGCCACCCCUCUGUUUCAGGCAGUAAUUGCCAUGUGAGACUGUGAUGGUUGUCCAGAUCUUCUGAUUAUUCAAGUAAAGCUGGAAAUUUAGAUUUGUAUUUGAUCCCUCACAUCUUUAAAUGCAGGCAACUAAUUAAAAUUAAAAGAA